Molecule: long non-coding RNA, 418 nt
Filed under: Monodelphis domestica (gray short-tailed opossum)
Lineage: Eukaryota; Metazoa; Chordata; Mammalia; Didelphimorphia; Didelphidae
Description: lncRNA (ENSMODG00000033771.2)
Source: RNAcentral
GAAAAGCUCCAGAAUUUGAAUACAAAUGUCAGGUAUAAGUUGGUAAUGAUCAGCAGUCAGCUGUAGAACUUGAUCGAAACUUAGCUAAGCCAUUCCUCAGCCCUUCCAUUGGCCCUUGUGAUUGUAUCCUAACCCAUUUUCCUCCAUAGCAUUCAUUUCCCCCAUGAUCUUUCCAAAGAAUUCACCUAUAGAUCUCAAUUCUCUCUCGCCAUGCUAAGAUUAUCUUUCUUACUACCAAUUCCUUCUAGGCUCCAUCAUUUCUUUCCUAACGUCUUCUGAUUCGACUUUGAGACAACCCAGCACUCUGGAAUCUUUGCUGCGACUUCUCCAAUGGACAGAUGUUCCGUUCCAUCCUCUUAACGAGGCUCCAUCAUUUCUUUCCUAACGUCUUCUGAUUCGACUUUGAGACAACCCAGCA